Thamnophis sirtalis is the source of this 543-nucleotide non-coding RNA. NCBI's taxonomy places the organism in Eukaryota, Metazoa, Chordata, Lepidosauria, Squamata, Natricidae. The record is from RefSeq and is a predicted model, not a curated record.
AAACUGGGACAUUUCUCAGACCUUCCGCCUGGGAUCUCCAUUGCUUAUGACUCCCAUUGUGGAGACACAGCAACCUAUGGGCAGACAGAGGGUGGAGAAUGCAGUGACGUGUCUGUCAACCAGUUGGUGCAAUUCACAGUGAAGAUAAGGGCAACCACUUGCCUACCUGAGUCCCAGAAGCUUGUGUUGCGAGUAUUAGGAGUGGGAGAGGAGGUCCAAGUAGAGCUGUCAACAGCCUGUGAGUGCCAAUGUGGAGACACCCAGCCUGAUGCACACCACUGCUCUGGUGGGCAUGGCAACCUCACCUGUGGCAUUUGCAGGUGUCAUGAAGGCUAUGUUGGCCGGCGCUGUGAUUGCAGGAAAGAGGAAAUACUUGGUUCAGAAGGUGUGAGCCUAGCAAGUGGGCCCUUCUGCAGUUGUGACAAUGUUGCCUGUGAACGACAUAAUGGGCAACUCUGUGCAGGUAAAAACAUGAAGUUUCUUUGAGAUACUAUGACUCUCCAAUUGAAGAGAAUAUUUGUAGCUCAGGGUUGAACCAUCGAG